Molecule: small nucleolar RNA, 207 nt
Organism: Jaculus jaculus (lesser Egyptian jerboa)
Lineage: Eukaryota; Metazoa; Chordata; Mammalia; Rodentia; Dipodidae
Product: small nucleolar RNA U3
Exons: 1
Source: RefSeq, a predicted model, not a curated record
AAGACUAUUCCUCUUGGGGAUCAUUUCUACAGUUUGUCAGUAGAUGAAUUUUUCUGAACAUGAAGAGUGCUGGGGACCAGGAAGAGACACAGGGUCCUCUGCCGAAUGUGAAGCUGGACCUCACCCUGGAGUGGCGUUGGUGCAACCGCCACUGGGGAUCAUUCUUCUCUUCUGUGGGAGAGCAAGAAGGGCAGAAUGGAGACUGGG